RNAcentral lists this long non-coding RNA (375 nucleotides) under Sus scrofa (pig). RNAcentral's name for it is "lncRNA (ENSSSCG00055014803.1)". The record is from RNAcentral. Lineage: Eukaryota; Metazoa; Chordata; Mammalia; Artiodactyla; Suidae.
GGCAUCGGGACGCGCCCGCGUUCCUCCGCGUGGGUCAGUCCUGCGCGGCCGGUGACCCUGCAGGGCUUGAGCCGGUGGGAGAGGAGAGGCCGGCUAGUCGGUGCCUGAGAAGGAAGAAGACUGUGUGAUUGAACCUGUGGAUCCCUGUCGCGUAUUUCUGCCUGAUUCAUUUUCCAGCGACCCUGGUUAAAAUCUACAAAAAGCCACCCUAGGGCCACAGGAUGGAGAGAGAAGAAUCAAUUUUUGUCUCUUCUAUCCAGUGAGAGGAGAGUUUGACUCACCGCAUUACAUGAACCAUCAAGAACUGUGUCCAUGGAAGUGUGGUCCCAAAUGUUUGAGGAGAAAGCUCUCCUGUGUACCUUAUUGCAAGGAACA